CCCUUAGAUGUCCGGGGCCGCACGCGCGCUACAAUGGAUGAAUCAACGCGUCAUCCUGGCCCGAAAGGGUUGGGGAACCGCUGAACCUCAUCCGUGGUUGGGAUUGGGGUUUGUAAUUAUUCCCCAUGAACUAGGAAUUCCCAGUAAGCGCGAGUCAUAAGCUCGCGUUGAUUACGUCCCUGCCCUUUGUACACACCGCCCGUCGCUACUACCGAUUGAAUGUUCCGAUGAAUACCAUGGACUGAGAGUAUGAAUGGGUUCGCUUAUUUCUGCUUCUCGGGAAGUGGAGUAAAUCUUAACAUUUAGAGGAAGGAGAAGUCGUAACA
This 326-nucleotide ribosomal RNA is filed under the name uncultured eukaryote. RNAcentral's name for it is "partial 18S ribosomal RNA". It matches the Rfam family "Eukaryotic small subunit ribosomal RNA", at positions 1470 to 1796 of the family's 1831-position model. The record is from RNAcentral.